Molecule: long non-coding RNA, 215 nt
Filed under: Panax ginseng (ginseng)
Lineage: Eukaryota; Viridiplantae; Streptophyta; Magnoliopsida; Apiales; Araliaceae
Description: long non-coding RNA (PGIN_LNC013684)
Source: RNAcentral
UUGCGCUAACAGUUUAAUAAGCUGAAAUUGACACUUAUGAUUCAGUUAUAACCCUUUCUUUUUGCUACCCUGCUAUCCAAAUUUAACAUGGGUCAACUUAUAUUUAAACUAUCUUGCUCCAUUCCUUGCUCAAUUUGUUAGAUUAGACGACAAAGAAGAGAAGUUUUGAUAGAAAUUUGGGGUGCAAAAAUUCGGUUAUCAAGAGGGAGAAGAAA